AACAGCGGCAGAGAGUGCGCCGAGUUGCGACAGACCAGCGCGAUAACGACCCGGGGAGCGAGGAUCGGAGACUCGGGGCUCCAGCGCUCCUCGGGGAAAUAGCCCCAGCUCCGGCCCGGCAGGAGAACGAACAGCAAGGAGGAAGCCGGAGUCAACCUUCAGGCACACGGAGAGCAUGCUCGGAGAAUCCCAACUGGGAUUUGAAUCAGGAACCUUCUAGCUCUGAGGCAACGUUUGCACCAUUGUGCUAAGAACAUGCACAGAUCAGGCAUAAGAUUAUGACCACCUGUCUAACACUGAGUGGCCCUUUUCAGACUCAUUCAAAUCCUUACACUUGACAAUUUUUUCCUGCUUUUAAUGCAUCAGCUUUGAGAAGAAGAAAAAAACGUCGACUUGAUCCCUAAUAUAACCCACCCAUUAACAGGUGCCAUGAUGAAGAGAUAAUCAGUGUUAUUCACCCAUCAGUGGUCAUAAUGUUAUGCCUGAUGCGUGUAUUAUAGUCUCUUUUCUUCUGGUAGUGUAAUUAAUGUGCAUUUUACAACCUAAAUAAAUGUACAUGACCUUUAUGUACAAGACUUUACAUAUUUAUGUUUUUCUUUUUCUAGGGAAAUUGAAUAGAAACAUGCAAAGGAUAUAAUUUUAGAGGUCAAAGCCUCUACUGUGCCGCCAUGUAGUUCCUUCAUGGCUCAUUGCCUUCAUCAAGGACUGAGAGCAUAUGUUUUUCUGAGUUUUUAGAGCGGGCUCCUUGUCUGCUCUGUCAAACAUGAUGCUUGGCAUGAGUUUUUCAGAUUCUGAUUAAGAGCCUUCAGAGGUUUGGCUGGGCUUCUGCUGGCAGUCACAAUGACGGAGCAGCUUGUCAUGCACUGGUUCAGAGACACCAGAGCUGGAGCUGUGGGGGAUGUUGGGAUUGACAUGGAGAUGCACAAACUGCUGUGGGACUGUCUCAUCUCAGCAUGAAAACAAAAUGUAGCAUGUAACUGACAGCGUAACAAGUAAUCGGUUCAAGAUAAGCACGGCACACUUAUUCUUAAACCAGAAACAACUCCUUAAGUCUGACUUAGACUAAAAAUUACAUAUACCUUUUUUGGAUAUGAGAAGUCAGGAUGUCUCUUAGGAUGAAUUCAAAGAUAGUACAGGGAUAAAGAGAGCUUUUUCAAGCUGAUACCUGGAAUCAUAGCAGGUCAGAUAAUAAAACCAUAUUAAUUUAUUACAAGAAUAUUAAUAAUUUUGAUGUGAGAAGGGAAUUAAGCAGCUUACACACAUAAAAAUGUAAAGAAAUGCCUGCUCAGUCACACCUUGUGCAAGUACUGGCAGCGAGAUCUACAGGAUCAUUUGCAGAAUUAAUUGAGAUGACAGAGUCAACAGUUCUGUUCCCAGGUGCAGGGUAAAAUGAACAUGCCCAGACAGAAACAGACACAUACAGGGAAAUGUGCAAUAGCUUUGCAUUUUACUCUGUGACAGCACAAUCUGAACAAACUCUGGGGCAUAAAACUCACAAUUAAUCUCACCUUAUUACACACCUUAAUCACUCUGUCUUUGAUCCUGCACAGCACUGCUGUGAUCAGAGACCGAGCUCCAAAAUAUCGCAGCACACAUAUUAACCCCGUGGAAAGAAAUAAGAGUGACGGGAUAGGAAAACCAAUGUGAUGGCAUUUUAAAAAUGCUUUUAUUUGCAUUACUUUACUGGGUAUACAAAAUGUUUCAUUAAUUAGCUUUGGGGAGAGCAUUCUGAGUGGGCUUCCUGUGUGUCCAGUAGUGUCUCUUAGCCUUCUGCUGACAAAUCCAACCUACACUGCCGCAUGCAAGAUCCAUCUGCUCCAAGUCAAAGGUGUCAGCAUUUCAGAUAACAACACUUAAAUUUUACCCUUCAAUAAUUCAGCAAACUGCACUGUGAGUAAGCCACCAAUUCUAUCAGCUCAUAUCAGAGCUAUGCAGUUGGUUUAAAUAGCAUAAAAACUACCUAUAGGCUUUAUAAAACAUGGCAUUAACAUGGUUUAAAAAGAAAAGCAUACAUCAACUUCCAUUAAAAUACUCUAUGCAUCUAAGGGCAUGCACGAUACUUCACAUUCCAUACUGUGUUUAUACCUUUGCAUGGCUGCCGGGUUAAAAAGUGAAGUCGGGUAAAGAAAUUGAGGAAUCACCUCUUUCGUCACCUAAAGAAAAUAAGAUUCGUGCUUUUGUUGUUUUCUUUGUUAAUGUAAGACAAAAUCUGCAAAAUUCUUUACACUGGUUUGAUUUGUGAGCAUAAUCCAGUGACAUU
Long non-coding RNA from Haplochromis burtoni (Burton's mouthbrooder), 2260 nucleotides. RefSeq lists it as uncharacterized. The record is from RefSeq and is a predicted model, not a curated record. NCBI's taxonomy places the organism in Eukaryota, Metazoa, Chordata, Actinopteri, Cichliformes, Cichlidae. The transcript has 2 exons.